AUUGAACGCUGGCGGCAGGCCUAACACAUGCAAGUCGAGCGGAUGAAGGGAGCUUGCUCCUGGAUUCAGCGGCGGACGGGUGAGUAAUGCCUAGGAAUCUGCCUGGUAGUGGGGGAUAACGUCCGGAAACGGGCGCUAAUACCGCAUACGUCCUGAGGGAGAAAGUGGGGGAUCUUCGGACCUCACGCUAUCAGAUGAGCCUAGGUCGGAUUAGCUAGUUGGUGGGGUAAAGGCCUACCAAGGCGACGAUGCGUAACUGGUCUGAGAGGAUGAUCAGUCACACUGGAACUGAGACACGGUCCAGACUCCUACGGGAGGCAGCAGUGGGGAAUAUUGGACAAUGGGCGAAAGCCUGAUCCAGCCAUGCCGCGUGUGUGAAGAAGGUCUUCGGAUUGUAAAGCACUUUAAGUUGGGAGGAAGGGCAGUAAGUUAAUACCUUGCUGUUUUGACGUUACCAACAGAAUAAGCACCGGCUAACUUCGUG
Molecule: ribosomal RNA, 484 nt
Filed under: uncultured bacterium
Lineage: Bacteria
Description: partial 16S ribosomal RNA
Rfam family: Bacterial small subunit ribosomal RNA
Source: RNAcentral